This 521-nucleotide ribosomal RNA is filed under the name uncultured bacterium. RNAcentral describes it as "bacterial SSU rRNA". It matches the Rfam family "Bacterial small subunit ribosomal RNA", at positions 8 to 518 of the family's 1533-position model. The record is from RNAcentral.
AGAGUUUGAUUAUGGCUCAGGAUGAACGCUAGCUACAGGCUUAACACAUGCAAGUCGUGGGGCAGCAUGGAGUUGCUUGCAAACUCUGAUGGCGACCGGCGCACGGGUGAGUAACGCGUAUCCAACCUGGCCCUUAGUAGGGGAUAGCCCGGCGAAAGUCGGAUUAAUACCCUAUGUUCUUCGUCGAGGACAUCUGAAGUGAAGCAAAGGCUUGCCGCUAAGGGAUGGGGAUGCGUCUGAUUAGGUAGUCGGCGGGGUAACGGCCCACCGAGCCAUCGAUCAGUAGGGGUUCUGAGAGGAAGGUCCCCCACAUUGGAACUGAGACACGGUCCAAACUCCUACGGGAGGCAGCAGUGAGGAAUAUUGGUCAAUGGGCGAGAGCCUGAACCAGCCAAGUAAGCGUGCAGGAAGACGGCCCUAUGGGUUGUAAACUGCUUUUAUAUGGGGAUAAAGUGCGGGACGCGUCCCGUUUUGUAGGUACCAUAUGAAUAAGGACCGGCUAAUUCCGUGCCAGCCGCCGC